AUGCCUUGGGUUCUCAUGGGUCAGGCAGCAGAUGGAAGGCUACUUUGUGGCCGGUGUUUUUUUUGAGUAUGUUAAUAUAUGCAUGGGAGUGUGUGGGUCUCCUCCUCCACCUCCUCCACUGGCAUGGUGCCGGUCCGGGAAUGCGUCCGUGAUUUUGUGCAGACGUGACUGGGAAACAUCUCUAGUUUCUGUAUGGGUUCAGGGUAAGACAGCGAUGUGAAGAAGAAGAAGAGAGAGAUUUGAGAGAGGCAAGAGAGCGAGAGAAACGGUCAGAAAACCAGAGAAGUUUCAAGGAGGGAGAUUUGUUUUUGGAUUUCUACGAAACAGCCAUGGAAACUCAAUAUGACGACACUGGCGAUGAACGGCGGGAGAAACAAGGUUGCUUCGAGUGCUGUAUUAAAUGUCUGGGCGGCGUGCCGUAUGCGUCUCUGGUGGCCACCAUCCUGUGCUUCUGCGGCAUGGCGCUCUUCUGCGGCUGCGGACACGUCGCUCUGACAGGAACCCUCACCAUCCUGGAGAACCACUUCUCUAGGAUCACCACAGACCACGCCACGCUGAGCGACAUAAUCCAGCUCAUGCAGUAUGUUAUAUACGGCAUCGCCUGCUUCUUCUUCCUGUACGGCAUCAUUCUGCUCGCCGAGGGGUUUUACACCAGCAGCGCCGUCAAAGAGCUCCACAGCGAGUUCAAGACCACCGUCUGCGGACGCUGCAUCAGCGGCAUGUUCGUGCUCCUGACCUACGUCCUGGGAAUCGCCUGGCUCGGGGUUUUCGGCUUCUCAGCGGUUCCUGUGUUCCUUUUCUACAACAUGAGGUCGACCUGCGCUGCCAUGCGCUCACCGAUGGCCAACCUGACCUCCGCCGACAGCAUCUGCGUGGAUGUGCGGCAGUACGGCAUUAUUCCAUGGAACGCAACACCGGGCAAAGCUUGCGGCUCAACGCUAGCUGAUAUCUGCAACACCAGCGAAUUCUAUCUGUCUUAUCAUCUGUUCAUCGUGGCUUGUGCCGGAGCCGGAGCCACAGUCGUUGCUCUGCUCAUCUACAUGAUGGCUACCACGUAUAACUUUGCUGUUUUGAAGUUUAAGAGUCGAGAGGACUGCUGCACUAAAUUUUAACGCAGCUGCGUCGAAGUGCCUAGAAUGAGCAGCCACUGACAAUAUGGACUAAAAUAAUCGAAGCGAAGACAAACGGGAGAAACACUUCUUUGCUUUGACAUGUAAUGUGUAAAUAUAGACCUGUAUACGGAUGUAGCAUUUGGACGCAGGUGCAGCCCGAGUCUGCAAACAUGCACGUGUUGUUAGCCAGAAAAGCCUGAUUUGAAGCCUAACACGAAGUCUCUUUAAAUUCCUCUGAAGUAUUACGGCUAAAGGACAGACGCACGGCGCAGCAGAGGAAAGUAUUUUUCCCAUUCAUUUUCUCAAAACAGAUUCUGGAAAAUCCUGAUCCAUGCACCAAAUAAAAACCAGGAGAUUCACGAAAUGCCAUUCAAAGCACAACGAUUGAAGACUAAAUAACAGAAACUUGCAUCUGAGCUUCAGUUCAAAUUCGUAUGAAUUAUAAACAAUUCUAAAUAUUAUAUAAGCAGUACUUGUGUGUUAGC
Sinocyclocheilus grahami is the source of this 1597-nucleotide RNA transcript. It is a transcript of the gene named neuronal membrane glycoprotein M6-b-like, with no coding region annotated. The transcript has 8 exons. Lineage: Eukaryota; Metazoa; Chordata; Actinopteri; Cypriniformes; Cyprinidae. The record is from RefSeq and is a predicted model, not a curated record.